This is a long non-coding RNA of Sarcophilus harrisii (Tasmanian devil), 1578 nucleotides long. RefSeq lists it as uncharacterized. The record is from RefSeq and is a predicted model, not a curated record. The transcript has 4 exons. NCBI's taxonomy places the organism in Eukaryota, Metazoa, Chordata, Mammalia, Dasyuromorphia, Dasyuridae.
CUAUUUAAAAGGUUUGAGGACCCCUGGCUGCAAGACAAUCAACUAACCUCUAGAGCUCCAGUUGCCUCUGGAGGGGAAUCUUUUUUUUUUUUUUUUUUUUUUUAAACUAGUGAUUACAUAACAUAACUGCUGGUGGGAAGUGAGUGUUGGAACCCCCACUUUUACAGAUAAUAAAACAGAAGCAUAUUUACUUGACUCAGCUAAGAGCACGUGGUCAUUUAAUGGCCAAGCUGGGAUUAGAACUCUGGCUGAACUGCCAUCCAUUUGCCUGACUCAAGCUGCAGGACCACAGGGAAGAGCUUGGAGAUGAGCGCCAGAUGAUUCAGUUCCUCUCUUUAACACUCUUCCCCUUUCCCCCCAACUUCUGAGGAAACAUCAGAUCCUAUACCACCAGGCUAGUUCUGAGAGAGGCCCUGGAAUCCAAGUUCUUCCCCUCAGCCAUGAGGUCAUGAAGACCCAGAGAAGCCUCCCAAACACUGAGCUAUCUCUGAUAAUGCUUGGGUCGGUCUCAUUAUGGUCACCCUGGAAAGUAUCCUGCUGAGGGUCCUCUUCACUUCCAAAAAGCAAACCAUCAUCACCUUGAACUUGGACAACCGUAAUAGCUGCUCAAGUGUCGGCUCACUCCAAUCCAUCCUCCAUUCAGCCACCAAAGUGAUAUUCCUACAGCACAGAUGUUUGACAACAUGGCUAAAAAGCAUGGAAGUAAGCCCACAGCCUUGUUUCCCUCCACUGGUGACUGGGAAAGCUCCAGAGCACUGUGCAUCAUCCAAGAACCCGGAAGGCCUGUCGGCAUGAAGUGAACCUGUCCCGGUCAGACCUAUAGAUGUUGUGCGCAGACCUCUCUUCUGCUCCUGGCAAUAACCCUGAAGGCUGCUUAUGGACCAGGACCUGUGGUGCAUCAGCUACCGAGUGCUGACGGCGCCACACUGAUCAGUGAUAAGGAUGUGAUCCUAGAGAGAUGGGCUGAACACUUUCAGUCUUCUCAACAGAUGGUCAUCAGCUAAUGCUGAAGCUAUAGGCCAUUUACCUCAAGUUGAAAUCAAUCCCUCCCUUGCUAAGGUUCCAGCUGAAGAAGGUUUUGAACGCCAUUUGGCUAUUUUCAUGUGGUAAAACCAUGCAUGCCGAUUCUGUUCCAGCUGAUAUUUACAAGGUGGAGGAGCCAAUUGUUUUUAUAAAAGCUGACUGAAAUAAUUCAGAUUGUUCUGUAAGAAAUGACCAGCAGGAUGAUUUCAGAUUAUAUGGCAAGAGGAGAUUAUACCCCAGAAGUUCAAAGCUGCCUCCAUUGCCCAUCUUUAUAAAGAUAAACGGAAUAGAUUGUCCUAUGACAAUCACAAAGGGGCAGUGUCUCUCUCUCAGUCAUUGCUUGCAAGAUUUUUGCCAGUCCUAUUUAAUAGACUAACCAUACACCUGGAAAAAAGGUCAUCUACUUGAGAGCCAGUAUGGCUUCAGAAGAGGCUGAGGAACAGUCUAAUUGUGUUUGCUGCCCAUCAACGUAAGGACAGAUCAGUGGAGGAAGUGUGGUGUGUGAUUCUUUGUUUGCAGAUGAUUGUGUAUUCAACAGACCCUCCAAAGCUGAGA